GUCAAAUCCGUGCAGCGAUAAAGUCGCCGCCGGCGGUUAGCUUGCGUAGAUCGUCUUCCGCCCCGUUCGCCACGCCACGUCUCGGAGUCGUCCCCACGAGGCAGUCUCGAAACGCAAAGCUGGUCACGAACCGGGUGGCAUAGAAGUCACUCUUUAUUAGCUAGAAUUGUGGGAAGAUCGCAGAGUUGCCGGCUGAUUCUGGAGUCGGCCGUCGCCGAGCAUUCGGCGGCGAUAACGAAGUACAAGCGGCUGUCGCAUUCGACCAGAUCACCGGAUGAGCGGCCACGGCAGCAGCGCGCGUCUGAUGCUCGGUGGCUUUUGGCUCAUUUCUUCCUUAGAAAGGCUGGUGAAGUGCCACGGGACACCAACAAAGGGAAAACCAAGAAGAAAGAGAAGAAGAAGAAGAAGAAGAAGAGCUGGUCUUCAUGGCUGCCGGACCCUACCAGAAGGUGGCCUGUUCAAGGUUGGUAGAGUAAAUACGAAGGAUCAGUUCAUAGUUUGUCUCGCGGAUGGCGGGUUGUGUGUUCAUUCUCCUACUGUUUGAUUUGUUGUACUGAAAUGUUAUUGACAUGAGAACAAAAAAAUACUGAUUGGCCAA
Musa acuminata AAA Group (dessert banana) is the source of this 598-nucleotide long non-coding RNA. RefSeq lists it as uncharacterized. The transcript has 2 exons. The record is from RefSeq and is a predicted model, not a curated record. NCBI's taxonomy places the organism in Eukaryota, Viridiplantae, Streptophyta, Magnoliopsida, Zingiberales, Musaceae.